RNAcentral lists this transfer RNA (64 nucleotides) under Trichobatrachus robustus. RNAcentral describes it as "tRNA-Cys". The record is from RNAcentral. Lineage: Eukaryota; Metazoa; Chordata; Amphibia; Anura; Arthroleptidae.
GGUUCUGGGGUGUAACAUAUGGGAUUGCAAAUCUCAAGAAGCAGGGUAAUGCCUGCCAGGGCUU